UAGUCCUACGGGGCGCAGCAGUGAGGAAUAUUGGUCAAUGGCCGCAGGGCUGAACCAGCCAAGUCGCGUGAGGGAUGACGGUCCUAUGGAUUGUAAACCUCUUUUGUCAGGGAGCAAAGGGCGCCACGUGUGGCGUUUUGCGAGUACCUGAAGAAAAAGCAUCGGCUAACUCCGUGCCAGCAGCCGCGGUAAUACGUAGGUGGCAAGCGUUGUCCGGAUUUAUUGGGCGUAAAGCGAGUGCAGG
This 244-nucleotide ribosomal RNA is filed under the name uncultured bacterium. Its description in RNAcentral is "partial 16S ribosomal RNA". It matches the Rfam family "Bacterial small subunit ribosomal RNA", at positions 334 to 575 of the family's 1533-position model. The record is from RNAcentral.